Molecule: ribosomal RNA, 497 nt
Filed under: uncultured bacterium
Lineage: Bacteria
Description: partial 16S ribosomal RNA
Rfam family: Bacterial small subunit ribosomal RNA
Source: RNAcentral
GAUGAACGCUGGCGGCGUGCCUAAUACAUGCAAGUCGAGCGAACGGGCGAGAAGCUUGCUUCUCUGAUGUUAGCGGCGGACGGGUGAGUAACACGUGGAUAACCUACCUAUAAGACUGGGAUAACUUCGGGAAACCGGAGCUAAUACCGGAUAAUAUUUUGAACCGCAUGGUUCAAAAGUGAAAGACGGUCUUGCUGUCACUUAUAGAUUGAUCCGCGCUGCAUUAGCUAGUUGGUAAGGUAACGGCUUACCAAGGCAACGAUGCAUAGCCGACCUGAGAGGGUGAUCGGCCACACUGGAACUGAGACACGGUCAAGACUCCUACGGGAGGCAGCAGUAGGGAAUAUUCCGCAAUGGGCGAAAGCAUGACGGAGCAACGACGCGUGAGUGAUGAAGGUCUUCGGAUCGUAAAACUCUGUUAUUAGGGAAGAACAUAUGUGUAAGUAACUGUGCACAUCUUGACGGUACCUAAUAAGAAAGCCACGGCUAACUACGUG